This is a non-coding RNA of Nothobranchius furzeri (turquoise killifish), 3384 nucleotides long. The record is from RefSeq and is a predicted model, not a curated record. NCBI's taxonomy places the organism in Eukaryota, Metazoa, Chordata, Actinopteri, Cyprinodontiformes, Nothobranchiidae.
UUUUCGCUUCUUUGUGCUUUUUGCUUUCACAUCUUUCACUACGUUCAGCUCAUUUAACAGUUUAGCUUAGUUUCAGCUUACUUCAGCUAUUCAACAACUUCAGCAAUCCGUUUCUGAAUUCGGCUUAUGCUACUCAGUUCACAGUUCAACAAAAAAUUAAACUGUUAAACUAGUCCUACUCAAACAACAAGUGUUUACACCUUUUUGCUUCCAGAUUUUUAAAUAAUGUUCAGAUUUCAGUUUUCUGCUGUUUAGGAUUGAUUUGUCCGGUCUUCACUUUUUGUGCUUUAUUUACAUUUUGGUGCUUUUUGCUUCUAAAUCUUUCAAAACAUUCAGCUCAUUUUAACAGUUUUGCUUAGUUUCAGCUUCAGCAAUUAGUUUCUGAAUUCAGCAUAUGAUGCUAAUUUCACAGUUCAGCUAAAUGUAAAAAUUAAACUGUUGAACUAGUCCUACUAAAAUAACAGGUGUUUAGACAUUUUACCUGUCCAAUUCUUUUAGACAGUGUUCACAGAUUUGAGUUUUCUGCUAUUUAGGAUUAGUUUUCUUGAUUCUUCACUUACUUUUUGUGCUUUUUUGCUUCUUUGUGCUUUUUGCUUUCACAUCUUUCACUACAUUCAGCUCAUUUAACAGUUUAGCUUAGUUUCAGCUUACUUCAGCUAUUCAACAACUUCAGCAAUCAGUUAGCAAAUUUAGCAUAUACUGCUAAUUUCACAGUUCAGCUAAAUGUAAAGAUUAAACUGUUAAACUUGUCCAACUGAUAUAACAGGUGUUUAGACAUUUAAGCUGUCCAGAUUUUUAUACAAUGUUCACAGAUUAAAGUUUUUUUUUUCUUGCUAUUUAGCAUUAUUUUUCUCUAUUCUUCACUUACUUUUUGUGCUUUAUUUACAUUUUGGUGCUUUUUGCUUCUAAAUCUUUCAAAACAUUCAGCUCAUUUUAACAGUUUUGCUUAGUUUCAGCUUCAGCAAAUAGUUUCUGAAUUCAGCAUUUGAUGCUAAUUUCACAGUUCAGCUAAAUGUAAAAAUUAAACUGUUGAACUAGUCCUACAAUAACAGGUGUUUAGACAUUUUACCUGUCCAAUUCUUUUAGACAGUGUUCACAGAUUUGAGUUUUCUGCUAUUUAUAAUUAGUUUUUUUGAUUCUUCACUUACUUUUUGUGCUUUUUUUUUGCUUCUUUGUGCUUUUUGCUUUCACAUCUUUCACUACGUUCAGCUCAUUUAACAGUUUAGCUUAGUUUCAGCUUACUUCAGCUAUUCAACAACUUCAGCAAUCCGUUUCUGAAUUCGGCUUAUGCUACUCAUUUCACAGUUCAACAAAAAAUUAAACUGUUAAACUAGUCCUACUCAAACAACAAGUGUUUACACCUUUUUGCUUCCAGAUUUUUAAAUAAUGUUCAGAUUUUAGUUUUCUGCUGUUUAGGAUUGAUUUGUCCGGUCUUCACUUUUUGUGCUUUAUUUACAUUUUGGUGCUUUUUGCUUCUAAAUCUUUCAAAACAUUCAGCUCAUUUUAACAGUUUUGCUUAGUUUCAGCUUCAGCAAUUAGUUUCUGAAUUCAGCAUAUGAUGCUAAUUUCACAGUUCAGCUAAAUGUAAAAAUUAAACUGUUGAACUAGUCCUACUAAAAUAACAGGUGUUUAGACAUUUUACCUGUCCAAUUUUUUUAGACAGUGUUCACAGAUUUGAGUUUUCUGCUAUUUAGAAUUAGUUCUCCUGAUUCUUCACUUACUUUGUGUGCUUUUUUGCUUCUUUGUGCUUUUUGCUUUCACAUCUUUCACUACAUUCAGCUCAUUUAACAGUUUAGCUUAGUUUCAGCUUACUUCAGCUAUUCAACAACUUCAGCAAUCAGUUACCAAAUUUAGCAUAUACUGCUAAUUUCACAGUUCAGCUAAAUGUAAAAAUUAAACUGUUAAACUAGUCCUACUGAAAUAACAGGUGUUUACACAUUUUAGCUGUCCAAUUUUUUUAAACAGUGUUCACAGAUUUGAGUUUUCUGCUAUUUAGGAUUAGUUUUCUUGAUUCUUCACUUACUUUUUGUGCUUUUUUGCUUCUUUGUGCUUUUUGCUUUCACAUCUUUCACUACAUUCAGCUCAUUUAACAGUUUAGCUUAGUUUCAGCUUACUUCAGCUAUUCAACAACUUCAGCAAUCAGUUAGCAAAUUUAGCAUAUACUGCUAAUUUCACAGUUCAGCUAAAUGUAAAGAUUAAACUGUUAAACUUGUCCAACUGAUAUAACAGGUGUUUACACAUUUUAGCUGUCCAAUUUUUUUAAACAGUGUUCACAGAUUUGAGUUUUCUGCUAUUUAGGAUUAGUUUUCUUGAUUCUUCACUUACUUUUUGUGCUUUUUUGCUUCUUUGUGCUUUUUGCUUUCACAUCUUUCACUACAUUCAGCUCAUUUAACAGUUUAGCUUAGUUUCAGCUUACUUCAGCUAUUCAACAACUUCAGCAAUCAGUUAGCAAAUUUAGCAUAUACUGCUAAUUUCACAGUUCAGCUAAAUGUAAAGAUUAAACUGUUAAACUUGUCCAACUGAUAUAACAGGUGUUUACACAUUUUAGCUGUCCAAUUUUUUUAAACAGUGUUCACAGAUUUGAGUUUUCUGCUAUUUAGGAUUAGUUUUCUUGAUUCUUCACUUACUUUUUGUGCUUUUUUGCUUCUUUGUGCUUUUUGCUUUCACAUCUUUCACUACAUUCAGCUCAUUUAACAGUUUAGCUUAGUUUCAGCUUACUUCAGCUAUUCAACAACUUCAGCAAUCAGUUAGCAAAUUUAGCAUAUACUGCUAAUUUCACAGUUCAGCUAAAUGUAAAGAUUAAACUGUUAAACUUGUCCAACUGAUAUAACAGGUGUUUAGACAUUUAAGCUGUCCAGAUUUUUAUACAAUGUUCACAGAUUAAAGUUUUUUUUUCUUGCUAUUUAGCAUUAUUUUUCUCUAUUCUUCACUUACUUUUUGUGCUUUAUUUGCUUGUUGGUGCUUUUUGCUUCUACAUCUUUCAAGACAUUCAGCUCAUUUUGACAGUUUUGCUUUGUUUCAGCUUCAGUUAAGCUGUUCAGCAGCUUCAGCUCAGCUGUUCAGCAGCUUCAGCUUACAGUUUCAGCUAUCCAGCAUUCAAACAGCAUUUGUGCAAUAAAUGCAAUUUUUCUAGUUCUUCUUCUUCUUCUUCUUAUUCUGCUUCCGUACACUUUUUGAACCGCUUCUUCUCCUUCAAAUUUUGAGCUAUUUCAACUAUUUUAUACCAAAACGUUCAGCUCGUUUAGCUCUUUCCGGCUAUUACUUUUGGCAUUGAUAUCUUUAAAAUUUUUCGAGUUAUUAAGCUUUUUCUGCAAAAAAUUUCCCAUUGAAAUGAAUGGGAUUGGUCAAUUUUCAGCAAAUUCCUAUCACCUUUUUGACCUAAAA